Colius striatus (speckled mousebird) is the source of this 288-nucleotide long non-coding RNA. RefSeq lists it as uncharacterized. NCBI's taxonomy places the organism in Eukaryota, Metazoa, Chordata, Aves, Coliiformes, Coliidae. The transcript is spliced from 3 exons. The record is from RefSeq and is a predicted model, not a curated record.
UUGAUUGGAGGGGAUGCCAACUUCUGAGAGUUUGUCAGAAGUCUGAGAGUUUGCCAAAAGUCUUCAUCAGUGUGUUAUACCAGAGGAGAAUGUAAAAAGCAAGAUUGGUCCUGGCAGCAUAACAGCCCUUAUUCUCUUGAUGAAUUGCGUCUGUUCUGUAGUAGAUGGAGAACUGGUAGGAAAAAUGGCUGGAGUACUUAUGAAGGCCCCUGAGGACACUCUUCAGUUCUGGGUAUUGUCUAUCUGUGCUCAAGGUUGUUGCUGAUGUGGUGCUGCUUUGUGACCUUG